UUAUUACUAUUUUUACUAUAUUUUUCAUAAAAUAAAUUCAACCUUGGUGAGCAUAAGAAACUUCUUUCAAAAACAUUAAAAAGUCUUAAUUAUCCCAAAUUUUGACCGGUAGUGUAGACUUUUUUUUUUUUUUCACAGAACUUCUUUCCUUUGGAAUUACAAUCGCAGGUCUUGUUUAAUUUCAGUACUUACAUAUAUGAUUGUUAUGUGGCAGCAACAUAGAAAGAAACAAUAAAAUCCUACAUUCAUGAAAUGCUUUGGCCCAUGAUGAGUUGAAGGUGUCAGGUAAAGAAAAGAGAGAAUAACUUCCGUCUACAGCCCAUUGUGUUUGUAUUGCCAAAACUGGGGUGUGUGCAGUCUCUCUAUUCAUGGAAACCCAUGAGACAGACAAUUCUAUCAACGCCCUCAUACAGCCUAUAAACCUGAAGAGUCACUGAACGUUUAUCCAUACACAUUUUUCCAAAAGGAUCAUUUGCAGAACCAAGGAGAAAAUGUUCCACUUCAUCCUGUUUGUUGGAUUUCUGUGUUUUUCUGUGGGAGAAUCGAGCACUACUGGUGCUCCUUCGACCACGGAAUUGACAGCAGAAACAACAUCAGCAAGCUGGAUAAUGACUUCUGCGCCAUCAACACAGCAGCCUGGCCCAAUAAUUACUGGCUUGAGGAUAGCUGUCAAAUCUUUGGUUGAUCUGUCCACUAGUUCAUCUGAGAUGGAGCUCCUUGUGCGUCAGAUCGAAACUUUCAUUCCUUCUCAAUACAGAGCAACGACUUCCAUCACAGUGAGAAAAAUCGAGAGAGGCUCCAGAAUUUGAACAAUGAAUACAUUUGGACAAUGCAUUUCUCAGAUACUAUCAUAUUAGUAACGAGAUUUUUCUUUUAUUCAUUUUCGUUUUUUUUUUUUUUUUUUUUACAUUGUUGUGGGUGGUAACUUGUGGGUUGCUAGGUGGUUGUUUACUGGCCAAAUCAAAAGCCAACCUGCAAGUCUCUUAUAAACCUGCCUCCUAUACUGAAAGCAUGGUUUUGGAUAUUUUAGUGGAGAGACACGUUUCCUGAACCCGAUGCACCUUAUGAUCAUGUUGUAAAUUAUCAAGUAAAAUUACAAUGACAAUGGAAAAAAAUCAAACAAAACAAUGCUUUAAAAACAAACCUGUUUUUAUGGUUUAUUUGCCUUUAAAACAAUAAUGCAUUUUGCUUUCAAACAUUGUAAUCUUGUCAAGCAUUAGUAACAGUGAAUAGCUAUAUAACUGUAUGUGAGAUUGCAAAAAUACUAAAAGCUACACUUAGAGAAUAAAGAGCAAUUCAUAAAUG
Molecule: long non-coding RNA, 1305 nt
Organism: Ctenopharyngodon idella (grass carp)
Lineage: Eukaryota; Metazoa; Chordata; Actinopteri; Cypriniformes; Xenocyprididae
Exons: 4
Source: RefSeq, a predicted model, not a curated record